AGAGUUUGAUCCUGGCUCAGAGCGAACGCUAGCGGCGGGCUUAACACAUGCAAGUCGUGCGGAACUUCGGUUCAGCGGCGAACGGGUGAGUAACACGUAGAUCACGUGCCUUUUGGAGGGGGAUAACUUGGGGAAACUCGAGCUAAUACCGCGUAUGUCCUUCGGGAUGAAAGCCUUCGGGCGCCAAGAGAUCGGUCUGCGGCCCAUUAUUUAAUCCUAGUUGGUGAGGUAACGGCUCACCAAGGGUACGAUGGGUAGCUGAUCUGAGAGGAUGAUCAGCCACACUGGGACUGAGACACGGCCCAGACUCCUACGGGAGGCAGCAGUGGGGAAUCUUGGACAAUGGGGGAAACCCUGAUCCAGCUACGCCGCGUGGGUGAUGAAGGCCUUCGGGUUGUAAAGCCCUGUCGGGAGGGAAGAAUUUUGACGGUACCUCGCAAGAAAGCACCGGCUAACUCCGUGCCAGCAGCCGCGGUAAUACGGAGGGUGCAAGCGUUGCGGAAUUACUGGGCGUAAAGCGCACGCAGGCGGCUUGAUAAGUCGGAUGUGAAAGCCCGGAGCUCAACUCCGGAACUGCAUUCGAUACUGUCUCGCUUGAGUUCGAGAGA
RNAcentral lists this ribosomal RNA (608 nucleotides) under uncultured delta proteobacterium. RNAcentral's name for it is "bacterial SSU rRNA". It matches the Rfam family "Bacterial small subunit ribosomal RNA", at positions 8 to 655 of the family's 1533-position model. The record is from RNAcentral. Lineage: Bacteria; Deltaproteobacteria.